AUUAUCACUUUGGCAACAUAUAUACGAAAAUUGAAAGUAUACAGAGAUUAGCAUGGCACCUGCACAAGGAUGAAACACAAAUAUGUUAAGGCAUUCAUUGUAGUU
Molecule: small nuclear RNA, 105 nt
Organism: Sorex araneus (European shrew)
Lineage: Eukaryota; Metazoa; Chordata; Mammalia; Eulipotyphla; Soricidae
Source: Ensembl